AAUAAUAUAAUUUAAUUUUUUUUUUAGUAUUAAUAUGUUUUUAAAUUAUAUAAUUUUAAAGUAAAAUUUGUUAGGUGAAAUUUUAAAUUUUACAAUAAAUUAAUAUUUGGUGAUUAAUUGAUAAAUUUAAUGAUAAACUAGGAUUAGAUACCCUAUUAUUAUAAGUGUAAAUUUAUGCUAGAUUAGUAAAAGUUAUGUUCUCUAAAAUUAAUGAUUUUGGCGGUUUUUUAGUCUAUUCAGAGGAACCUGUUCUGUAAUCGAUAGUCCACGAUUUAAUUAUCCUUUGUUAAAAGUUUGUAUAUCGUCGUAAUUAGAGUAUUUUAUAAGAAUUUAAAUAUUCAAUAUUUAUUUGUUAAUAUAAAUCAGAUCAAGGUAUAGCUUAUAUAAAGGUAGAAAUGGGUUACAUUUAUUUUAAUAUGGGAUUAUUUUAUGAAAAAUAGUAUGAAUUUGGAUUUGAAAGUAAUUUUAAUUAAAUUAUUAAUUUGAUUUUAGCUCUAAAAUAUGCACAUAUCGCCCGUCGCUUUCAUUUUAAGGUGAAAUAAGUCGUAACAAAGUAGGCUUACUGGAAAGUGAGCCUAGAAAGAACGAGUUAGAGCUUGUUAUAAGCGUUUUAUUUACACUAAAAAGUUAAUUGUGAAAAUCAAUUUAACUUGAUUAAAAAAAAUUAUUUUUAUUUUUAGAAAAAUGAUAUUUAGAAAAAAAAAUUAAUUAUUUAGUAUUUUUAAAGAAAAAUUUUUUUUUAUUAUAGUAAAUUAGUAUUGAAAGAGAAAUUUAAAUUAAAGGUAAAAAAAGAAUAAUAUU
RNAcentral lists this ribosomal RNA (801 nucleotides) under Psacothea hilaris. RNAcentral's name for it is "partial 12S ribosomal RNA". Lineage: Eukaryota; Metazoa; Arthropoda; Insecta; Coleoptera; Cerambycidae. The record is from RNAcentral.